UACGGGGGGGGCAAGCGUUGUUCGGAAUUACUGGGCGUAAAGGGCUCGUAGGCGGCCAACUAAGUCAGACGUGAAAUCCCUCGGCUUAACCGGGGAACUGCAUCUGAUACUGGAUGGCUUGAGAUUGGGAGAGGGAUGCGGAAUUCCAGGUAUAGCGGUGAAAUGCGUAGAUAUCGGGAGGAACACCGGUGGCGAAGGCGGUUCUCUGGGCCUUAACUGACGCUGAGGAGCGAAAGCGUGGGGAGCGAACAGG
This 253-nucleotide ribosomal RNA is filed under the name uncultured bacterium. RNAcentral's name for it is "partial 16S ribosomal RNA". It matches the Rfam family "Bacterial small subunit ribosomal RNA", at positions 524 to 776 of the family's 1533-position model. The record is from RNAcentral.